RNAcentral lists this ribosomal RNA (465 nucleotides) under Vreelandella stevensii. RNAcentral describes it as "partial 16S ribosomal RNA". It matches the Rfam family "Bacterial small subunit ribosomal RNA", at positions 338 to 795 of the family's 1533-position model. Lineage: Bacteria; Pseudomonadati; Pseudomonadota; Gammaproteobacteria; Oceanospirillales; Halomonadaceae. The record is from RNAcentral.
CCUACGGGAGGCAGCAGUGGGGAAUAUUGGACAAUGGGCGAAAGCCUGAUCCAGCCAUGCCGCGUGUGUGAAGAAGGCCUUCGGGUUGUAAAGCACUUUCAGUGGGGAAGAAAGCCUUGGGGCUAAUACCCUCGAGGAAGGACAUCACCCACAGAAGAAGCACCGGCUAACUCCGUGCCAGCAGCCGCGGUAAUACGGAGGGUGCGAGCGUUAAUCGGAAUUACUGGGCGUAAAGCGCGCGUAGGCGGUCUGAUAAGCCGGUUGUGAAAGCCCCGGGCUCAACCUGGGAACGGCAUCCGGAACUGCCAAGCUAGAGUGCAGGAGAGGAAGGUAGAAUUCCCGGUGUAGCGGUGAAAUGCGUAGAGAUCGGGAGGAAUACCAGUGGCGAAGGCGGCCUUCUGGACUGACACUGACGCUGAGGUGCGAAAGCGUGGGUAGCAAACAGGAUUAGAUACCCCAGUAGUC